This 709-nucleotide ribosomal RNA is filed under the name uncultured bacterium. RNAcentral describes it as "bacterial SSU rRNA". It matches the Rfam family "Bacterial small subunit ribosomal RNA", at positions 94 to 823 of the family's 1533-position model. The record is from RNAcentral.
AGCGGCGGACGGGUGAGUAACGCGUGGGUAACCUGCCCUGUACACACGGAUAACAUACCGAAAGGUAUGCUAAUACGAGAUAAUAUACUUUUAUCGCAUGGUAGAAGUAUCAAAGCUCCGGCGGUACAGGAUGGACCCGCGUCUGAUUAGCUAGUUGGUAAGGUAACGGCUUACCAAGGCGACGAUCAGUAGCCGACCUGAGAGGGUGAUCGGCCACAUUGGAACUGAGACACGGUCCAAACUCCUACGGGAGGCAGCAGUGGGGAAUAUUGCACAAUGGGCGAAAGCCUGAUGCAGCAACGCCGCGUGAGCGAUGAAGGCCUUCGGGUCGUAAAGCUCUGUCCUCAAGGAAGAUAAUGACGGUACUUGAGGAGGAAGCCCCGGCUAACUACGUGCCAGCAGCCGCGGUAAUACGUAGGGGGCUAGCGUUAUCCGGAAUUACUGGGCGUAAAGGGUGCGUAGGUGGUUUCUUAAGUCAGAGGUGAAAGGCUACGGCUCAACCGUAGUAAGCCUUUGAAACUGGGAAACUUGAGUGCAGGAGAGGAGAGUGGAAUUCCUAGUGUAGCGGUGAAAUGCGUAGAUAUUAGGAGGAACACCAGUUGCGAAGGCGGCUCUCUGGACUGUAACUGACACUGAGGCACGAAAGCGUGGGGAGCAAACAGGAUUAGAUACCCUGGUAGUCCACGCCGUAACGAUGAGUACUAGCUGU